This 254-nucleotide ribosomal RNA is filed under the name uncultured bacterium. RNAcentral describes it as "partial 16S ribosomal RNA". It matches the Rfam family "Bacterial small subunit ribosomal RNA", at positions 524 to 776 of the family's 1533-position model. The record is from RNAcentral.
CACGUAGGGCGCAAGCGUUGUCCGGAAUUAUUGGGCGUAAAGAGCUCGUAGGCGGUCUGUUGCGUCCGCUGUGAAAACCCGGGGCUUAACCCUGGGCUGGCAGUGGAUACGGACAGACUAGAGGUAGGUAGGGGAGAAUGGAAUUCCCGGUGUAGCGGUGAAAUGCGUAGAUAUCGAGAGGAACACCUGCGGCGAAGGCGGGUUGCUGGGCUGACACUGACGCUGACAACGCGAAAGCUAGGGGAGCGAACGGG